This 267-nucleotide ribosomal RNA is filed under the name uncultured archaeon. Its description in RNAcentral is "partial 16S ribosomal RNA". It matches the Rfam family "Archaeal small subunit ribosomal RNA", at positions 718 to 982 of the family's 1478-position model. The record is from RNAcentral.
AGUCACUGACAUUAGACUACCCGGUAGUCCCAGCCGUAAACUAUGCGCGUUAGGUGUACUGGUGACCACGAGUCGACCGGGGUGCCGAAAGGGAAACCGUGAAACGUGCCACCUGGGAAGUACGGUCGCAAGGCUGAAAACUUAAAGGAAUUGGCGGGGAGCACCACAACGGGUGGAGCCUGCGGUUUAAUUGGACUCAACGCCGGAAAUCUCACCGGAUAGGACAGACAUAUGAUAGUCGGGCUGAAGACUCUACUUGAUGAUCUG